Molecule: long non-coding RNA, 1255 nt
Organism: Eleginops maclovinus (Patagonian blennie)
Lineage: Eukaryota; Metazoa; Chordata; Actinopteri; Perciformes; Eleginopidae
Exons: 4
Source: RefSeq, a predicted model, not a curated record
CCUGCUCAGUGACUCCUGGACGAUCCACAGCAGAAACCAUGAGCGGGUGCUCGCAAUCCUGCUGUCUCAACCAACUGAGGGGCUCCGGUAGUGGUAAAGGUGAUGAUGUUUGGCACUCAGUAUCACCAUCACUCAGAAGCUCUGAAGAAUUGAGAGACCACCACUAUCUUCCAAACAUGAUUAUUAUCUGCAGGAAUCACGAGCAGUCAGCAGAGGGCCUAUUCUGCUCACAGGAAGGAGCACACAAAACGAACACACCGAAAGCGGAAGGUCUGAUCAUCAUCUGUGUGCUUCUUUCCUUCCUGGCUUUCACAUUCCUCAUGGGAUCAGUGGGCAGAGAAGACAAUAAUGUACAAGAUUAUGAUGCUGAUGUCUUUCUCCCGUCCAAAGCUCUGUGGUUGCUCGGCUGUCUGCUGUUCUGGACUCUUUGGUUGCUCCUGCGUCUCCUCCAGAUGUUCCUCUGGCUGAUCAAAGGCCUGCUGUGGUUCAUCUCUGUUGCUGCUUCCCCGCUGUGUGGCUGUGCUUCCUUUCUCCUGACCUGCGUUCUGCUGCUGCUGCAUUACACAUGUGAGGCUGUGUUUUAUGCAACCACCAGUCCUGUGUAUGUGUAUGGCAUUCUUCUCAGUGUUGCCAUUUCGCUGUUCAUUUUCACCAGGUGAAAGCCGAAAUCAUUGCUUUAAAAUCUGAAGUAAAUCCUCUAUAAACGGUAUACAUAUAUACUUUACAUAACUGUAUUCUAUAUACUACUAUAUGUAUAUAUAUUUUUUCUGAGACUUUAAAAUAUUGUAGAACAGUGUAAAUUAUCUAGAACAAGGAUUCUUGUGGUUCAUGUCCUUUCUACAUGUUAUGUAUAUAGCCUUGCUGCUGUUUAUUAUUUGUAUUCUAUUCCACUUUAUUUUAUUAUGUUUCUACAUUUUUCCACGUUUAAAGACACACUACUGCUAUCUAUCUAUCUAUCUAUCUAUCUAUCUAUCUAUCUAUCUAUCUAUCUAUCUAUCUAUCUAUCUAUGAUCAAAACUAAAUGAUAUAGAAAAAAGCCCCCUCCAGGAUCCUUGCGAGAGUGAAAAGCUGGUCCUUCAAUCUGAGGUUCGACAAUCGGUCGGACCCUCCUUUCCAGCACCUUAGAGUAAACAAUGAAAACAGUGAAAAAAAUGUGUCAAAUAUAAUACAACAUUUUUUAUGUAUGUAAAUAACUACGAAAUGUUUUUGUUGUUGUAUUUUGGUAAAAGAUGCAAUAAACACUGAAAGACUAUUA